Molecule: ribosomal RNA, 253 nt
Filed under: uncultured bacterium
Lineage: Bacteria
Description: partial 16S ribosomal RNA
Rfam family: Bacterial small subunit ribosomal RNA
Source: RNAcentral
UACGUAUGGUGCAAGCGUUAUCCGGAAUGACUGGGUGUAAAGGGAGCGUAGACGGUUGUACAAGUCUGAUGUGAAAGCCCACGGCUCAACUGUGGGAGUGCAUUGGAAACUGUAGAACUAGAGUAUCGGAGAGGCAAGUGGAAUUCCUAGUGUAGCGGUGAAAUGCGUAGAUAUUAGGAGGAACACCAGUGGCGAAGGCGGAUUGCUGGACAGUAACUGACGCUGAGGCGCGAAAGCGUGGGGAGCAAACAGG